This 543-nucleotide ribosomal RNA is filed under the name uncultured bacterium. Its description in RNAcentral is "bacterial SSU rRNA". It matches the Rfam family "Bacterial small subunit ribosomal RNA", at positions 75 to 602 of the family's 1533-position model. The record is from RNAcentral.
UUCCUUCGGGAUGACUUUGUCGCUGUCGAGUGGCGGACGGGUGAGUAAUGCAUAGGAAUUUGCCUCAAAGUGGGGGAUAGCCCGGAGAAAUCCGGAUUAAUACCGCAUGUGCUCUACGGAGGAAAGCGGGCCUCUAUUUAUAAGCUCGCGCUUUGAGAUAAGCCUAUGUCGGAUUAGCUUGUUGGUAGGGUAACGGCCUACCAAGGCGACGAUCCGUAGCUGGUUUGAGAGGAUGAUCAGCCACACUGGGACUGAGACACGGCCCAGACUCCUACGGGAGGCAGCAGUGGGGAAUAUUGGACAAUGGGCGCAAGCCUGAUCCAGCAAUGCCGCGUGUGUGAAGAAGGCCUGCGGGUUGUAAAGCACUUUUAUUGGGAAAGAAAAACUCGGGGUUAAUACCCCUUGGGUCUUGACGGUACCCAAAGAAUAAGCACCGGCUAACUCAGUGCCAGCAGCCGCGGUAAUACUGAGGGUGCAAGCGUUAAUCGGAAUUACUGGGCGUAAAGCGAGUGUAGGCGGCUUCGUAAGUCGGAUGUGAAGCCC